This 253-nucleotide ribosomal RNA is filed under the name uncultured bacterium. Its description in RNAcentral is "partial 16S ribosomal RNA". It matches the Rfam family "Bacterial small subunit ribosomal RNA", at positions 524 to 776 of the family's 1533-position model. The record is from RNAcentral.
GACAGAGGGUGCGAACGUUGUUCGGAAUUACUGGGCGUAAAGCGCAUGUAGGCUGUCUUGCAAGUCGGGUGUGAAAGCCCAGGGCUCAACCCUGGAAGUGCACUCGAAACUGCAAGACUAGAAUCUCGGAGAGGGUAGCGGAAUUCUGGGUGUAGAGGUGAAAUUCGUAGAUAUCCAGAGGAGCACCGGUGGCGAAGGCGGCUACCUGGACGAGUAUUGACGCUGAGAUGAGAAAGCGUGGGGAGCAAACAGG